This 455-nucleotide ribosomal RNA is filed under the name uncultured archaeon. Its description in RNAcentral is "bacterial SSU rRNA". It matches the Rfam family "Archaeal small subunit ribosomal RNA", at positions 405 to 859 of the family's 1478-position model. The record is from RNAcentral.
GGCUGUCGUAAUGCCUAAAAAGCAUUGCAUACAAGGGCCGGGCAAGACCGGUGCCAGCCGCCGCGGUAACACCGGCGGCUCGAGUGGUAACCGCUAUUAUUGGGUCUAAAGGGUCUGUAGCCGGCUGACUAAGUCUCUUGGGAAAUCUGACAGCUUAACUGUCAGGCUUUCAGGAGAUACUGAUCGGCUCGAGACCGGGAGAGGUGAGAGGUACCUCAGGGGUAGGGGUGAAAUCUUGUAAUCCUUGAGGGACCACCAGUGGCGAAGGCGUCUCACCAGAACGGAUCUGACGGCAAGGGACGAAAGCUAGGGGCACGAACCGGAUUAGAUACCCGGGUAGUCCCAGCCGUAAACGAUGCUCGCUAGGUGUCAGGCAUGGCGCGACCGUGUCUGGUGCCGCAGGGAAGCCGUGAAGCGAGCCACCUGGGAAGUACGGCCGCAAGGCUGAAACUUAA